Long non-coding RNA from Mustela lutreola (European mink), 2332 nucleotides. RefSeq lists it as uncharacterized. NCBI's taxonomy places the organism in Eukaryota, Metazoa, Chordata, Mammalia, Carnivora, Mustelidae. The transcript has 5 exons. The record is from RefSeq and is a predicted model, not a curated record.
CAGAAAAUUGCCUUACCAAAAGAGGUUAUGCUUGCUGGAGAAGUAACAUGCUCCCUCACCUCCAUCUUGCCUUGAUUGUCCACGGCUGAUGACUGACGGACACAGUGGUAUAAAAGCCCAGUCUGUAGGUGUAACACCAAGCAGAACCUGACCUGAAAAUGUUGUUGAAAAAUGUCUCCGGUUCCAGGAGAAAUUCUACUGAACGCAUCAAUCAUGCUGUUGGAGUUUGAGUUAUCUGGAACAAAGAACUUUAAACCUCCUGAAAUACAUGAUUAGGAUGUUAACUAUUAAAAUGUAUAAAAUAAAACAAAAAAUAACACGUUAGGUCUUUUUCAACAACCUUUCUUAUGGGGAAGGAGUUGGGCUUGACUUGCUUUGCAUAGUAUCCUACCGGCCACAUGGUAAGCAGCAGAGAUUUUCAACCACAGAUGAACCCAGGGCAAUGGAAUGAAUGGUUGAACCACUGCUGAGCACGAUGAGAGAACAGUUCAGGAAGAUUAUUUUGCUCCUGAUUAUAGACAGCAAGUGAAGAAGCUAGGAGAGACUAAAAUUUUAACCAUUAUCUGAGAGUGCUGGGUUUUCAGAAGUGGUUUUCUGGAAGGCUGUGAGCUUCCUGCAUGACUGAGAAAAACAUUAUUGGCAUCAGUAAAACCAUAUGCUCAAAAAUGAAAGCCAGAAGCGGUACAGAGAGUCACUUUCCAGCAACGACGAGAGAAGAGUUUCUUCUUGCCACCGUGCACACUUGUGUGAGUUGUUCUCUGGCUGAGGGGCUGCUGAGGACUGGCACAGAGCCCUCUCUCCACUUGUUCAUGACAAUAGUUACAAUGACCGCUGUAGCACGAGGAGCGGAAUGUUGGCUUGGGAUGGCAUGCUGCUUUAUAAAGAGCAGCUACAAGGAGCAAUCUUGUCCCAUUUCAUCUGAACAAGUACGCUCAGGUUUUGCUCCUCCUAGACUGAAGGUCGAGAUAUGUCCAUUUUUGUCUACCUGCUUUUUGCGUCUUUGGGUUUAGAAUCCAAUGCCUGGAUCUGGCCACUCGACUGGCAUCCACUUUCAUCAUCUGUCCCUAGCGGAUUCUAGUCACUGACCCAUUCUCUGACCAGGUCUGGGGUGUCACAUUCACUCCUGAAAGCCUUUUCUCCCACUUCUGCUUUGCCCUCAGCAACUAGGCCUGGGGCGAGGCCAGCUAAAGAUCUCUUCUUUCUGCCUUCUGCUUUGACCUGGCCAACCUGACAGGAGACAAAAGUAAAAAGCUCUUAAAAUUGACUUGGCUAAGGGACUUAAAAGUCGUUCCUGAGGUGAGUGUCCAUUUCUGAUAAAGUGUGACUUUGUAACCCCAAAUCCCACAAUUUAUCCUUUCAUUCCCCAAAUAUUCACCGCUCAUAUCUAUAGCAUUUUAUGAUAUCUAAAAAAUGAAAUACACCCAAAGUGAAGAAAAAUGGGAAUUCAAUGUUCAGGCAUUUAUUUCAGGUUGUAGUAAUUCUAGGAAUCUGCUCUGCUUUUAUCUGCUUUCAAGAAAAUAAGAGUUAUUCCAUUUCAGUAACUGAAGAAUCUAGAGCACAUCUUUGUUCAUUGUCUGAAUUUGCAGCUCUUCCUGGCCCCAAAAGGCCUCUCUGUUUUCAGGGAGUCUGCAGGCAGAAACCCACAGAGUGAGCCAAACAUGCAGUUGGUAUCGGAGAAGUCAGGAGAUCUGACGUCUUGAAGAGUCCAAAGAAGUUUCGAGUGAUUUCUUCUCAGGCUUUUGUUUUGUCUCUUUAGCAAUCCUGUUUAGAACAGGAAAGCUCACCAUGGGGCAGGGCUACAAAGCCUGUGGAUCACUUUAGUUUUGCAACAUUUAUCAGAUAAAUCAAAAUGGAAGUGAGACAAAUUGUAAAGAGUAAGAGACGGAAUAAAGCACAGUCUGCCAAGGACUCGGAUGGCACAUUUCAUGGCUCCCUUAUCCCAUUUUCUUCAAACUUACAUUUAUUUUCAAAGCAAGUGAGUGAAGUGGGUGGUCCAGAUAGAGUCCGGGAAGUCACUGGAGUUUUGCUGAGUCACCACCGUGUCAGAACUUGAAGCACUUCUACUUCUACUUCUUUUAAUUCUCGUGAUGCAGUCUUUCACUCCCUAGGCUUGCUGUUAAGCCUCCUCCCCAUCCUCACUGUGCCAAGAACUGUGCAGAUGAUUUCAUGCAUGAAAAAACAAAAGAACCUCUAAAAUUUACCAAAAUGAAUGGAAAACAAGAACUACUUUUAAUGAUAAUCUAAUAAAGAACAUGGGAGAAAGGGUAUAGAAUAUUACUCAUUUGUAAAAUGGGCAUAAAAUUGUGUUCCAUAAAAUACUCUUUUAUCUAUU